GGGAUACUGGAGGAGUUGUCCGCUCACCCUGCGAGAAGUCCUCGUUAAUGACUGGAGAACACGGGUUCGGUGGUAGAAAGACCUCAGCCCCUUCAUGGAGGCGGCACUCCUUGAUGGACCUGUCAUUUGCACGGGAGGAUGCUGCCUGGACUGGUGAAUGGUCAGUACUGCAGGUUGAACCACAGACCCUAAAGAAAGUCCUCUGAUUGACUGACUACUUCACACUGGAGUUAUGGAGAGAUUUGUACAAAUGGCUUCAGCUGCAUGAAGGCAAAGAUAAAAUACAAGUAACAAUCAUAUACUCAAGAGAGAUUGCAGGAUGGAGUCUUGAGCAAUACUCGGAAUCGGAUGGCAGAGGGGAAGAAGCUGUUCCUGAAUCACUGGGUGCGGUAAACUAUGUGUAUACCUGUCUGGACACGCCCCUCUGCUGACUGAACCUGUGGCUCCUCCCACAGACCUCUGUAUAAAGGCG
This is a long non-coding RNA of Hypanus sabinus (Atlantic stingray), 472 nucleotides long. RefSeq lists it as uncharacterized. The transcript has 4 exons. The record is from RefSeq and is a predicted model, not a curated record. NCBI's taxonomy places the organism in Eukaryota, Metazoa, Chordata, Chondrichthyes, Myliobatiformes, Dasyatidae.